Molecule: ribosomal RNA, 256 nt
Filed under: uncultured bacterium
Lineage: Bacteria
Description: partial 16S ribosomal RNA
Rfam family: Bacterial small subunit ribosomal RNA
Source: RNAcentral
UAAUACGGAGGAUGCGAGCGUUAUCCGGAUUUAUUGGGUUUAAAGGGUGCGUAGGCGGACUAAUUAGUCAGCGGUGAAAUUUUGCGGCUCAACCGUAAAACUGCCGUUGAAACUGUUAGUCUUGAGUGCGGUAGAGGUAGGCGGAAUGUGUGGUGUAGCGGUGAAAUGCUUAGAUAUCACACAGAACACCGAUUGCGUAGGCAGCUUACUGGAGCGCAACUGACGCUGAGGCACGAAAGCGUGGGGAUCGAACAGG